RNAcentral lists this transfer RNA (117 nucleotides) under Streptomyces fulvorobeus. RNAcentral describes it as "tRNA-Met". Lineage: Bacteria; Bacillati; Actinomycetota; Actinomycetes; Kitasatosporales; Streptomycetaceae. The record is from RNAcentral.
GUGGGGGACCGGCAACACCCCUGAUAACCAGGGCAUUCGGAGUCAGCCAGAGUGAGCCAGUCUCCAACCUGGCGACUCAUAAUCCGUCGGCCGUGGGUUCGAGUCCCACCCGCCCCA